RNAcentral lists this ribosomal RNA (377 nucleotides) under uncultured bacterium. RNAcentral's name for it is "bacterial SSU rRNA". It matches the Rfam family "Bacterial small subunit ribosomal RNA", at positions 523 to 898 of the family's 1533-position model. The record is from RNAcentral.
AUACGUAGGGGGCGGGCGUUGUCCGGAAUUACUGGGCGUAAAGGGCGUGUAGGCGGCCGAGCAAGUCAAGUGUGAAAAGCCUCGGCUUAACCGAGGCAUUGCACAUGAAACUGCAUGGCUUGAGUGCAGGAGAGGGAAGUGGAAUUCCUAGUGUAGCGGUGAAGUGCGUAGAUAUUAGGAGGAACACCAGUGGCGAAGGCGACUUCCUGGACUGUAACUGACGCUGAGGCGCGAAAGCGUGGGUAGCAAACAGGAUUAGAUACCCUGGUAGUCCACGCCGUAAACGGUGAGUGCUAAGUGUUAGAGGGUUUCCGCCCUUUAGUGCUGCAGCAAACGCAUUAAGCACUCCGCCUGGGGAGUACGGUCGCAAGACUGAA